UUAUCCUUUUUUUUUCUUAAUUUAAUUUUUAGAUAUUUCAGUUUAGCUUUUUUCUCAUUCGUUUUUCCCAAAUUUUAAGAAGUUAGAGGCAAUUUGUCGAAAUUGAACCUUUUAAUUUCCACCAUUUUCCUUUCUUCAAGCAUAGUGUCCGGGAAUUAAUCUGUUUAAAGAACUAUGAGCUUUUACAGAUUUAUGCCAAGCCAUUUGAUUUUUUUUGAAGAUGACUGUCGGCAAGAGCUGAAAUUACCAGACAGUUGGACUGCUAUGUUGGCUGGUGUGUCGAGUUCAGUGCAAGUGUUUCGCGGGAGUAAGAGGCGAGUGUGGAAUGUCCAACUACUCAAAAUCAUAAAGGAAACCCAAGUAUACAUGUGCUUAGAUUUUGGUGGAAAAUAUUUGUUGAUGAUAAUCAUAUAAGUAGUGGUGAAAGUAUCAUGAUUUACUAUGGUGGAAACCAAAAGUUUCAUGUACGGAUAUUCUCACCCUCAAUGGUUGAAAGGUUUGGCUCUACCGAACCUCUGCAUCAUAGUGCAUCAAGUCGUGGAAUUGGAAAUGUUGAUUUUAGAGAAUACUUGGGUAUUGGAAAUAAACCAUGGUUUCCUCUAGUGAUCAAUUCGGAAUGUUUUGCAAGAGAUUACUUGGUUUGUAUUUUUUUUAUUGUGCCUUAUUUAUGAUAAGCCAAUGUCAAAACUUGCAAUAGUGUUUUAAUGAGUUCUUUCUUUCGAUAUGUGCAUGAUGUUCCUGAAACUUUUGGAAAUCAGGUCUUUUCAAAUGUAAACUUGCAAACACAAAUUCAAGUUUGAUAUGGUGGCAAAACAUGGAAUGCUGAUGUUCAUAUUUGCUACAAGGAUAAUGAAAAUAUCUAUAGUAGAAUAAUGAAUGGGAUAUCACAAGUGUUCUUAGAUGGAAAUUUAAAAGUUGGAAAAAUUGGUGAUGUAUUUUUGCAGAACAAUGAUCCAGGUAUCUUAGAAAUAGUAUUUCAUUAGUAUGUAAUUGAUUUAUGUAUUGUAAUCGAUUUUGAUGGUGGAUAUUUAUCAAUUACUUGAAUCGAGUUUUUUUUAUUUUAUCAUUUGCUUUGGCUUAUUUCCUAGUCUAAAUAAGUUGGAUUUAUUUAAAACAUUAUAUUAAACUAUUAUCAUUCAAUUAACAUAACAAGUUCUAUUAAUUCUUUUAAAAA
Molecule: long non-coding RNA, 1174 nt
Organism: Chenopodium quinoa (quinoa)
Lineage: Eukaryota; Viridiplantae; Streptophyta; Magnoliopsida; Caryophyllales; Amaranthaceae
Exons: 3
Source: RefSeq, a predicted model, not a curated record